GAUGAAGAACGCAGUGAAAUGCGAUAAGUAGCGUGAAUUGCAGAAUUCAGUGAAUCAUCGAAUCUUUGAACGCACAUUGCGCCCCAUGGUAUUCCGUGGGGCAUGCCUGUUCGAGCGUCAUUUACCCCCUCAAGCUCCGCUUGGUGUUGGGCGUCUGUCCCGCUUCGCGCGCGGACUCGCCCCAAAGGUAUUGGCAGCGGUCGUGCCAGCUUCUCGCGCAGCACAUUGCGCUUCUCGAGGCACCGGUGGGCCCGCGUCCAUCAAGCUCACCCCCCCAGUUUGACCUCGGAUCAGGUAGGGAUACCCGCUGAACUUAAGCAUAUCAAUAAGCGGAGGA
This 337-nucleotide unclassified non-coding RNA is filed under the name soil metagenome. RNAcentral describes it as "partial contains 5.8S ribosomal RNA, internal transcribed spacer 2, and large subunit ribosomal RNA". The stretch from base 1 to 120 matches the Rfam family "5.8S ribosomal RNA", at positions 35 to 154 of the family's 154-position model. The record is from RNAcentral.